AACCCUUGACAUCCUGUGCUACUACCAGAGAUGGUACGUUCCCUUCGGGGACGCAGUGACAGGUGCUGCAUGGCUGUCGUCAGCUCGUGUCGUGAGAUGUUCGGUUAAGUCCGGCAACGAGCGCAACCCACAUCUUUAGUUGCCAUCAGGUUAUGCUGGGCACUCUAGAGAAACUGCCCGUGAUAAGCGGGAGGAAGGUGUGGAUGACGUCAAGUCCUCAUGGCCCUUACGGGUUGGGCUACACACGUGCUACAAUGGCAGUGACAAUGGGUUAAUCCCAAAAAGCUGUCUCAGUUCGGAUUGGGGUCUGCAACUCGACCCCAUGAAGUCGGAAUCGCUAGUAAUCGCGUAACAGCAUGACGCGGUGAAUACGUUCCCGGGUCUUGUACACACCGAAU
This 398-nucleotide ribosomal RNA is filed under the name uncultured marine bacterium. Its description in RNAcentral is "bacterial SSU rRNA". It matches the Rfam family "Bacterial small subunit ribosomal RNA", at positions 976 to 1395 of the family's 1533-position model. The record is from RNAcentral.